UACGGGGGGGGCAAGCGUUGUUCGGAAUUACUGGGCGUAAAGGGCGCGUAGGCGGCCGAUCAAGUCAGAUGUGAAAGUCCUGGGCUUAACCUGGGGACUGCAUUUGAUACUGAUUGGCUUGAAUUCGGGAGAGGAUAGCGGAAUUCCCAGUGUAGAGGUGAAAUUCGUAGAUAUUGGGAAGAACACCGGUGGCGAAGGCGGCUAUCUGGACCGACAUUGACGCUGGGGCGCGAAAGCGUGGGGAGCAAACAGG
RNAcentral lists this ribosomal RNA (253 nucleotides) under uncultured bacterium. RNAcentral's name for it is "partial 16S ribosomal RNA". It matches the Rfam family "Bacterial small subunit ribosomal RNA", at positions 524 to 776 of the family's 1533-position model. The record is from RNAcentral.